Non-coding RNA from Raphidocelis subcapitata, 72 nucleotides. Lineage: Eukaryota; Viridiplantae; Chlorophyta; Chlorophyceae; Sphaeropleales; Selenastraceae. The record is from the annotation of a GenBank genome assembly.
GUCGGCGUAGCGCAGUGGAAGCGCGUCUGCCUCCGGAGCAGAAGGUCCUGGGUUCGACCCCCAGCGUCGAUG